RNA transcript from Myiozetetes cayanensis, 5122 nucleotides. It is a transcript of the gene named tubulin tyrosine ligase like 7, with no coding region annotated. NCBI's taxonomy places the organism in Eukaryota, Metazoa, Chordata, Aves, Passeriformes, Tyrannidae. The transcript has 24 exons. The record is from RefSeq and is a predicted model, not a curated record.
GUCCCGGCUCCCCGCCGUAACCUCCCGCUCCUCCUCCCGCCCGUGCCCCGCGGAUGCGGCCGCGCGGGAUCGGCCCCGCCCGGCAUCGCCCGCCGUGAGGCGCAGCACGCGCCGCCCGGAGCCCCGAGCGCUGCAGGACCGCCCGCCCCGCGCCCCGGCAGACAACCACUCCAUUCUAGAUUUCUGGUGGUUUGGAUAUAUUCCACGUACUUCCGAAGGGAUCUGCCCAGCACUUUGGGAGUGUUAGAAGAGGCCAGGAGACUGAGCCCAUCAGCAGUUAUUAGAUAUCUAUCCAUUCCAGAACUAUUUUUUGCUACAACCAGAGACGGAAAUGGCAUGACUGGAGUUUUAAGUAAUUUGACUUUGACCAUUUCGCCAUUUUCUGAGAACUUGGAACAGAAUUUGAACUCUACUUCUGCACUAUCCUAGGUUAUAAUGCCGUCCUUUUCUAAUGAGGGAGAUAACCAUGGAACUGAUCCUCUGACUUUGAGUUCAGCACUAUCCUAUCAAGGCACAACUAAAAGAAAAGUCAAAAAGAAGAAGAACAAUGGAGUCAUCACUGCGAAUAUCUCUGGCACAAAAUACGAAAUUGUACGUAUAGUAGUGAAAGAAAUGGGAUUUAAGAAAGCACCCGAUGAAGAUGAAACAGCUAAUCUUAUAUGGAGUGAUUGUGCUGUGCAACAGGAGAAGAUUGCUGAGCUUCAGAACUAUCAGAGAAUCAACCAUUUUCCAGGAAUGGGAGAGAUAUGCAGAAAGGAUUUUCUGGCAAGAAACAUGACUAAAAUGAUCAAGAGUCAGCCUCAGGAGUACAGUUUUAUUCCUCGGACGUGGAUCUUCCCUGCAGAAUACACGCAGUUUCAGAACUAUGUGAAAGAACUGAAGAAGAAACGGAGACAGAAAACUUUCAUAGUCAAACCAGCUAAUGGUGCAAUGGGACAUGGGAUCUCUUUAAUAAGAAAUGGAGAAAAGUUACAAGCUCAGGAUCACUUAAUUGUUCAGGAAUAUCUUGACAAACCAUUUCUUAUGGAAGGCUACAAGUUUGAUUUACGUGUAUAUAUUCUUGUAACCUCCUGUGAUCCAUUAAAAGUAUUUUUAUAUCACGAUGGACUAGUGAGAAUGGGCACCGAAAAGUAUCACCCCCCCAGUGACUCAAAUUUGAGUCAAUUGUAUAUGCAUCUGACUAACUACUCUGUCAAUAAACAUAAUGAACACUUUGAACGGGAUGAAACAGAAGACAAAGGAAGCAAACGCUCCAUAAGAUGGUUUACUGAGUUUCUAGAAACAAAUAAUCUUGAUGUCUCCAAAUUCUGGAGUGAUAUUUCAGAACUGGUAGUGAAGACUCUCAUCGUUGCAGAGCCGCAUGUUCUUCAUGCUUAUCGCAUGUGCAGGCCAGGCCAAGCCCCAGGAAGUGACAGCGUCUGCUUUGAGGUCCUGGGAUUUGAUAUUCUGCUGGACAGAAAACUAAAACCAUGGCUCCUAGAGAUUAAUCGUGCCCCAAGCUUUGGAACGGAUCAAAAAAUAGACUAUGAUGUAAAAAAAGGUGUUCUGCUGAAUGCAUUACAACUUCUCAACAUACGGACAAGUGACAAAAGGAGAAAUUUAGCUCAACAGAAGGCUGAGGCUCAAAAAAGACUGUAUGGCCAAGGGUCAAUGAGGAAACUGUUGCCAGGUUCCUCAGACUGGGAGAAGCAGCGCCACACGCUGGAAAGGAGAAAAGAAGAACUGAAGGAAAGACUUGCACAAGUACGUAAACAGAUUUCCAAAGAGGAGCAUGAAAAUAGACACAUGGGGAACUACAGGCGAAUUUACCCUCCUGAUGAUAAGACACUGCUUGAAAAGUAUGACAGUUUGUUGGCCACUGCUUUCCAGACGUUUCUUGCUGGAAGAGCAGCUUCGCUUCAGCGGGAAAUGAAUAAUCCUUUAAAAAGAAUGAAGGAGGAGGACAUUUUGGAUCUUCUGGAGCAGUGUGAAAUAGAUGAUGAAAAGCUAAUGGGAAAAUGCACCAGGCAGCGAGGACCUAAGCCCCUGUGUUCAAUGCCAGAAAGUGCACAUUCCUUAAGGAAAACCAAGAACCACGGCAGUGACUGCAGCUGUGACAGCGGUAGCUGCGUGUCAGAAUCAGGAGAGGAAACUGAAAAGGAAGAUCACAAUGAAAAAAAAGAGAAAAAAGUUUCAUAUGAUCUUGAAGAAAAUAAAUAUAAAACUUCAGAACGAUCAGGGAGAAUGAACUGGAAACCUUCCAAUAAAAAUGUAAAAUCUCCAUCGUAUUCGUCCCCCACAUCAUCCACAGGUGCAAUGAGGCGUUCUGUGAGCUGCCCUCGCUCCAUAUCAGUACUCACUGUGCAGUCACAGGCAGCUGAGCAUCGGCCCUACUCAGCCAAAGCCUCUCUGCAAAUGCAGCGCACCUCCUCGGUCAACAGGUCUCAUUCCUUAAACCGUAGCCCAUCUUCGGCCAGAGUCUCUCAGACAGCCACCUUGGGAACCAUGAACUCUUCAGGGUCAGUUAAUAGAACUGGAAAGACAUUAAGAUUGUGUCUUCACAACAACGUGUUAAAGAGUGAGUCUUUGCUACAACAGAAAACAAGAGAGCAAGAGGCUGCUUUGACAAAAGAGACUCUUCUCUUAAUCAGUGACAUGAGAAUCAAGUUCCCAGGAAAAUCAGAUGAAGAAUCUGAAUUAAUUAUAGAAGAUAUUAUGGAUAAUUGGAAGUAUCACAAACCAAAAGUAUCAUUCUAUUGGUUGGUAAAACUGGAUCCAGCAAAGCAACGAAAAGUUUUGGAUAUAGUCAGGACAAGUGUUCGUGCGGUUCUCCAGCAUGUCUGGAAAGCUCCAGACAUCGAAAGUUUGCAUCUGUACCGUCUUUUUGAGCGUGUAUUUAAUCGCUUACUUUGGAGCCGCGGCCAAGGCCUGUGGAACUGUUUCGGUAAUUCAAGGAGCUCUUGGGAAACCAUAUUCAGUAAAAGCACAGAGGUGGUGACUCCUGAGCAACUCCAGUGUUGCCGACGAAUAGUACAGCUUUGUAAACGCUGCCUGCUGGUGGUUUACAAAUACUCAUCAGAAUCAAGAGGAUCCCCAACGGGGAUUAGCCACCACUGGGAUGAUACAAGAUCCCUCAAAGUCACUGUUUCCAGAUUUGCAUUCCUAGAGGUAUCCUAGCAUGUCAGAUACUUGUGGCUUCACAUUCGCAGUGGGAUGCUGUAGGGGCACAGCUCCAGCCAAGGGUCAGGUAUUUAUUGCCAGGACCUUCACUGUUCAUCCUGAAAUCAUCCUCAUCCAAACUUAGCUGCAGUUCAUCUGGAAUGCCUCGCCCUAACAUUUUGUUCACACACAGAUACAGUCACUUGUGAAGUGAAAGGAAAGUUGCUGUUUGUAAAUAAUAGCACCAAUAUUUUUUUUUCAGUUUAAAAUUUGUGAUGAAGCUAAAUAUAAACACUGUUAUAUAUUUCCUACUAUCAUAUUAUAAUAAAAUUUAGCUUAAAACCUACUGUAAAAGCAUAGCUUUUCUGGGAACAUACUAAAUCUUGUUGUUUACAUACACAUGUGAAUGUGUAGAUCUUGCUAGGUUUAUAAGUAAUUCCUUCCUACUAGAAAUGUUAUUUUUGCUGCAGAAUAUAUAAAAUGGAAUUGAUCUUGAAGAUUCUAUUACAGUAUUACAUUAUUUUGUAAGUACAAUACUUUGACUUGAAAAUUAUUUAUUGUAAACUAUAUUAUUUAUUGUCUCAAAUGUAAUUGAUCCUUUAACAAGGUAGAUAAUUGAAAACUCUAAUAGAACAGUAAAACUGUAACAGUUAUCAAAAAUAAUCUGAUCAGUUCUUGGACAUGUUUAAAAUAAAAGCCAAAACUCUGCAAGCCAAACCUAAAGCAGACAUAUUUUUAUUUCUCCUCUGAAAUGACAAGAUUAUUUAAUGCUGCUAUUUUUCUUAAAAGACAUAAUAUAGUAUCUCUUAGCCAAAGCAAAGGCAUCUAGUAGACAAACAGUAAAACAUCAGUAAAAGCGUUCACUUUCUAACUGGAUUAUUGUAAUAAAAUGGAAGCCAACGUUUGUUUCCAGGUUUUUGUUCACAUUACCUAUACCCUGUGCCUUUAGGUUUCCUUUGGGAGCAAGAAGUCACCUUCAGCUUGCACAAGCAUGCAUAGUGCAAGUGGUAAAGCAGACAUUGUAGGAAAUACUGCAGCUGUAAUGUAUUGUUUCAAACUUAAACUAAUUGGUUUGUUGUAGUUUUUAGCAUGCAAUCCAGUACCUACUGUAGAAUGCAUCCUUGCAAUGGACGGUGUUUUCCAGAUUGCUGACACCGUCACACGUUGGAAACCGAGUUCAUUUGAAAGCUCUCGUUCAGCCCCAGCCUCCUGGGGCUGGCUGAAGGGCACAAAAAUAAACCAAGCCAGAGCAGGAACCUCGUAUUAGCAGGAUUUGUACCCUGAAAACAUCAUUCAGGUUUUGCUACAUACAGCCAUUCAUCCCACUCAGCAUUGUGUCACGUGAGCCUUAUUCAUUAUAGAAAUAAUUAUUAAAAAAUCAGUUAAUCUAGAUUUAAAAAUUGUUUCUUAACUGAGUAAAGAACAGAGUAAUUAUUAUUUACCAAAGACUUGUGUACUUAUCAAUUGUUUAACCCUGAUAUGUGUUUGUAAAUUAUUGAUGUAUUUCAGGUAUACUUAAAAAAGUAAUUUGGGGGCUACUUAUCCUCAGGAGCAAGUAUGUUAAUAGUUUUUGAUAUCCAGCAAUUUAAGAGAAAUUUAAGAGACUAAAGGAAUUUGAGAUUGACGUUGUAUGGAAAUGUGUUGGGUUUGUUUUUAUUUUUUAAUUUUAGUCAUAGGAUAAAUAGAACUGGGAAUUUGGGUGAGAUUUUUGAUGCCUGUGCUGUAGUGCCUCAGCUCUAGAACUGCAGAAUAUAUGAUAACAAGACUAUUUGUAAACAAUUAAAAAACCUUCUUGAGAUUAACCAGAUAAAAGCAUUCUUUUCGUCUGGUAAAGUCUUUUUAAUUUUUGUGGUAAUAUUAGUUCAUUAAUAUAACAUGUUCACAUUAAUGGUAUAUCUCUUUUGGUCCAUACAGUGACUAUGAAUGCCUACUGUGGUUAACUGUAAGACCUAAUAAAAGCUGUAAAUUUUCUCUUCUUGGAGAA